RNAcentral lists this long non-coding RNA (215 nucleotides) under Capsicum annuum. RNAcentral describes it as "long non-coding RNA (CANN_LNC013998)". The record is from RNAcentral. Lineage: Eukaryota; Viridiplantae; Streptophyta; Magnoliopsida; Solanales; Solanaceae.
GAGCUAACAUACUCCCUUUACUACAAACAAUGCCUAAAGUUUAAACCCAAUAUCUACCAACCAUUAUGCACUACCAACAAGGUGCUUCGUAGAGAAAUAUACAUAUAUGGUCCACCCCACAAGGAGGAUACCCUAAAUUCCUCAUUCACCCACCAACAACCUAUACCUUCCCGGGGAAACCAUUUCUCUAAUGCAUAAAAGAACAGAAGCACCCC